Molecule: transfer RNA, 78 nt
Filed under: Cordylochernes scorpioides
Lineage: Eukaryota; Metazoa; Arthropoda; Arachnida; Pseudoscorpiones; Chernetidae
Description: tRNA-Thr
Rfam family: tRNA (bases 6-68)
About the family: Transfer RNA (tRNA) molecules are approximately 80 nucleotides in length. Their secondary structure includes four short double-helical elements and three loops (D, anti-codon, and T loops). Further hydrogen bonds mediate the characteristic L-shaped molecular structure. tRNAs have two regions of fundamental functional importance: the anti-codon, which is responsible for specific mRNA codon recognition, and the 3' end, to which the tRNAs corresponding amino acid is attached (by aminoacyl-tRNA synthetases). tRNAs cope with the degeneracy of the genetic code in two manners: having more than one tRNA (with a specific anti-codon) for a particular amino acid; and 'wobble' base-pairing, i.e. permitting non-standard base-pairing at the 3rd anti-codon position.
Source: RNAcentral
GCCUAUAGCCUAGUGUAGUGGUCAUGGCAUCUGCCCGGUAAGCGGAAGGUCGUGGGUUCGAUUCCCAUCCCUUGACCU